RNAcentral lists this ribosomal RNA (1521 nucleotides) under Escherichia coli. Its description in RNAcentral is "bacterial SSU rRNA". It matches the Rfam family "Bacterial small subunit ribosomal RNA", at positions 8 to 1137 of the family's 1533-position model. Lineage: Bacteria; Pseudomonadati; Pseudomonadota; Gammaproteobacteria; Enterobacterales; Enterobacteriaceae. The record is from RNAcentral.
AGAGUUUGAUCAUGGCUCAGAUUGAACGCUGGCGGCAGGUCUAACACAUGCAAGUCGAACGGUAACAGGAAGAAGCUUGCUUCUUUGCUGACGAGUGGCGGACGGGUGAGUAAUGUCUGGGAAACUGCCUGAUGGAGGGGGAUAACUACUGGAAACGGUAGCUAAUACCGCAUAACGUCGCAAGACCAAAGAGGGGGACCUUCGGGCCUCUUGCCAUCGGAUGUGCCCAGAUGGGAUUAGCUAGUAGGUGGGGUAACGGCUCACCUAGGCGACGAUCCCUAGCUGGUCUGAGAGGAUGACCAGCCACACUGGAACUGAGACACGGUCCAGACUCCUACGGGAGGCAGCAGUGGGGAAUAUUGCACAAUGGGCGCAAGCCUGAUGCAGCCAUGCCGCGUGUAUGAAGAAGGCCUUCGGGUUGUAAAGUACUUUCAGCGGGGAGGAAGGGAGUAAAGUUAAUACCUUUGCUCAUUGACGUUACCCGCAGAAGAAGCACCGGCUAACUCCGUGCCAGCAGCCGCGGUAAUACGGAGGGUGCAAGCGUUAAUCGGAAUUACUGGGCGUAAAGCGCACGCAGGCGGUUUGUUAAGUCAGAUGUGAAAUCCCCGGGCUCAACCUGGGAACUGCAUCUGAUACUGGCAAGCUUGAGUCUCGUAGAGGGGGGUAGAAUUCCAGGUGUAGCGGUGAAAUGCGUAGAGAUCUGGAGGAAUACCGGUGGCGAAGGCGGCCCCCUGGACGAAGACUGACGCUCAGGUGCGAAAGCGUGGGGAGCAAACAGGAUUAGAUACCCUGGUAGUCCACGCCGUAAACGAUGUCGACUUGGAGGUUGUGCCCUUGAGGCGUGGCUUCCGGAGCUAACGCGUUAAGUCGACCGCCUGGGGAGUACGGCCGCAAGGUUAAAACUCAAAUGAAUUGACGGGGGCCCGCACAAGCGGUGGAGCAUGUGGUUUAAUUCGAUGCAACGCGAAGAACCUUACCUGGUCUUGACAUCCACGGAAGUUUUCAGAGAUGAGAAUGUGCCUUCGGGAACCGUGAGACAGGUGCUGCAUGGCUGUCGUCAGCUCGUGUUGUGAAAUGUUGGGUUAAGUCCCGCAACGAGCGCAACCCUUAUCCUUUGUUGCCAGCGGUNCUUCUCCCAAACCAAGGUAUGUGAGAAGACCAGCUACAUCCUUUCCACUCAAAUUGGUAAGCGUAUUGUCCAGCGGUUGUUUACCUGCCAGCGCAUUAAGCAUUGUCGUGGCAAAGUUCGGAUCAUUCCCCAGUGCCGCCGCCAGUUCGUUCAGUGUAUCCAGUGCAGCAGGUGCAGAACCCACCAUUCCUGCAAUCGCCGAUUUCACAAAAGCCGUAGUGGCAAUCUGUGUAUUGUUGACCGACUGCGCCGCCGUGGGGGCUGUUGGCGUUCCGGUGAGUGCCGGACUCGACAACGGUGCUUUAAGUGCCAGCGCAUUGUUAAUGGUGGUACUGAAAUUCGGAUCAUUGUUAAUGGCUGCGGCUAUUUCUUUCAGCGUGUCCAGCGUGGCU